RNAcentral lists this long non-coding RNA (1264 nucleotides) under Struthio camelus australis. RNAcentral describes it as "lncRNA (ENSSCUG00000015687.1)". The record is from RNAcentral. Lineage: Eukaryota; Metazoa; Chordata; Aves; Struthioniformes; Struthionidae.
UUGGGGGUGGCCCCGUGCUGGGCUGCGGGGGGCUUGCAGGCUGGAGGCGCCUGAGCUCGUCUCGGGCUGCUUUUAAAUCACUGAAAUUCAAGGCGGAAUAGUCGCCUCGUUGCUUCCCCCCCUCCCCGUUAUUCGGUUUAAAUUUUCCUGCCUGGGUGCUCAGCCACACCUGAUGUUAUGUCCUGUCUUAGAGGCACAAGGCAACGCUGCAGCGCGGGCGAAAAUAACACGUCUAACUGGGUGCAGGAUGUCGCUGCUAGCUGUGCCGUUCCGCAUCGGUGCGAAAAUAAAUAGGCGCUUGAACGCCGCGGUGCUGAGCGGCUGCGGAGCUGGGGCGGGAGCUGCACCUAAGCGAAAUGCAGCGCUGGGAAGAAAGUCAACAGCAGGGUGUAAUGCUGAUUGUCAAACAAAGAGUCCCAGUCAGGAAGUCAACAUACAGGUCAGCACAGAACAAGUCAGAUAAGAAAUGAGAUGGAAUGAUAUAGUCAGUUAUUGUGCUGUGGGUCAUUCUGAAUGAUCUGAGGCAACUUGUCUGCGGUUUGUGCAGAUAGCAGCGGACCUUCUGUAGAGAUACAACUGCUGAUGACAAGCCUUGCUCAUUGAAACCAGGUAUGACUUGCUUAAUCAGAUCUCUGCAAACUUGUCUAGAUGCAUGCUAAUGGCAAUUUUUUUUUUAAGUAACUUGUAGAGAGCUUUCUGAAAAGGAAUGCUUGUUCCUGUCUUUGCCAGGAAGAUCCAGAGAGCAGGACUUGCUGUAUUUUUUUUUAUUCUCUCCCUUUGAAAUGCCAGGUGUUUCAAGUCUGACUCUCACUGUUUUGCUGUAGAAUUUUUUUGUGUAUCUGAAUACUUGUAUUCCGCCUUAAACAAAGGAAACAGGUGUUGAAUCUUCAUUCCAAAUGCUUUUUUUCCUAUAAAAAUAUUAGACACUAGCAUAAAAACAGUAAGCAAUCUUUUUUCCAGUUAACUUUUUUAAAAGUGCGUACAGUAUGAUACAAAAGUCAAGGAAACCCAAAAACCUAUGUGAAAAGCCCGGCAAAAGGAAGUAUCCAGAAGUUAGAAAAUGCCUGUGGAAAAUGGAGACACAGAUGUAUGUGAAUUACGGUCGCAUUUUAUUUCUCAUAGCCCUCUUCCCCAAACAGCAUGUGGGGUGAAUGAGGUGAGAAAUUACAGGAAGAAAGACUCUGAAGUGCUGGGCUAAGGCUGAAGGUCCUGGUCCUCCUCUGUCAUAGCCCUUUUGGGUGGUGUUGGGCAAUGUUUUAAUGCA